AUCCAGCUGACGAGUCCCAAAUGCGACGAAACGCGCGUCAAACUGGAU
This is a non-coding RNA of Schistosoma rodhaini, 48 nucleotides long. Lineage: Eukaryota; Metazoa; Platyhelminthes; Trematoda; Strigeidida; Schistosomatidae. The record is from Rfam.